This 1153-nucleotide long non-coding RNA is filed under the name Oryctolagus cuniculus (rabbit). RNAcentral describes it as "lncRNA (ENSOCUG00000036584.1)". The record is from RNAcentral. Lineage: Eukaryota; Metazoa; Chordata; Mammalia; Lagomorpha; Leporidae.
AAAAAAAAUUUAGUCUCAAUCUACAUGGGUUCCCACCUGAAAUCUGAAGUCAGUGAGCCACCGUUGGUGGAAAAGUAUGGCUCCCCUAGUUUCUACGGCAAUCCUAACGCCAGGCUCCGAGGAAGAGGUGGGACCGCCACCGUGCGCUCACGUCUGCGGGUAGCGCCUGGAAGGGAUCCAAUGAACAUAUUUCCCUAUAGUUGAGCUAUAGGACUCCUAUUGGCCAAUAGAGAAAAAUGUAAGGAACUCUAGGCUCUGUGUUUCUGCCUUCACCCUGAGAACAUCACACCCAGGCCAGCAGUCUCCCAGGAGAACAGGAGAUUCACAGAGCAGAACCCACUUCAUUGUCGCGGACAAGGCGUGGAAGUGGACAAGGAGCAUGGCCAGUGCUAGGUCUUCGCACAUUUAUGGGACCCGCUAAUGGGGAUAAUGCCAGGAAUAGUCAAGGUUCUCAUUCAUCGCGUCACCCGGAGUGGAUGUGGAGUCUAAAUUCUCCUCUCGGCGGGGGCACCUGGAGGACGCGGAUGCCAUGACCAGAAUCACUUCCUCCCUCCCUCCCCAGGCCCUGCAGAGAGGCGGGCAGAAGUGCGCAGGUGCGGGGGGAACGGCGGUGAGAAGCUGGUGGGGUUGGAGCUGAGCGGAGAAGACUCGCGGCCAACACUGCAGCUCCUGAGGCCGACCCUCUCCCAGGGUGACCGUGUUCCCAACUGUGAAACGAUCCAGACCACUGGAGACCAGGUGGAGACCGGAUCCCGGGAUGCCCGGCCCAUUGCUUCUCCUCCAUUUGCCAAACCCAGCCUCCACACUUCCUGCUGGCUGCCCAGGGCGCUGACCUACAGGACAUCGACAGGCUCCACCUUCUGAAGUCUCAGUUUGAGAACAGAGGAGAGUGAGGUCAGAGUGUCCAUUCUCUAGGCUGUCUCCUCGCCGAGUCACCUUGAGCUAGCUGUGUCCCUGGGCUGAAGGGCAUUGCUCCUGGCAGGGUGGUGACUCCCCAGGACUCACUCUGCUGAAUUCCAGUAACCCUUCCUGUCCCUGGCCUCUGCAUAGUAAGAAUUCAGCUGCUGCUGACUCCAGCUUGCUGUGCUAUUCUCCACCUACUUCUUUGCAGUCAAAUCCUUGAACUCCCCUAUUUUAAGUUUGCCACCUGCUU